GUUUGAUAUAUCAAUGUGGUUGUUGUUAUUAGGUUAAUACUAUCGUAUGAAAGUUGGGAUUUUGUUUUGUGUUUUCUCUAUUCAAUUUUUCUUAAACUGUACAAUUUGGAAGGCACGUUAACAAAGGUAACUUUUAGUAUUAUAUAUUAAAUAUUGAUUUUUGAUUGUAAUAUACAGGCACCAGUAUAAGUACACAUUUUAUUAAAAAAAAAGAGACGAAAGAUACUAAAGAGAACAUUUAAAUAUAAUAGGUCGAAGAGGAGAGGGACGAAAGAUACUAAAGAGAAAAUUUAAAUAUAAUAGGUCGAAGAGGAGAGGGACGAAAGAUACUAAAGAGAACAUUUAAAUAUAAUAGGUCGAAGGAGAGGCGAAGAGGAGAGGGACGAAAGAUACUAAAGAGGACAUUUAAAUAUAAUAGGGCGAAAAGGAGAGGGACGAAAGAUACUAAAGAGAACAUUUAAAUAUAAUAGGUCAAAGGAGAGGGACGAAAGAUACUAAAGAGAACAUUUAAAUAUAAUAGGUCGAAGAGGAGAGGGACGAAAGAUACUAAAGAGAACAUUUAAAUAUAAUAGGUCGAAGAGAAACUGACAAUACCACGGCUAACAUCGAAAGAAGACGAACAGACAAACAAUCACAUAAAGUACUACAUAUAAAGCUUUUAAGAAUACAAACCCGACAUAGAACUGGGGUGAUCGUAUAUGUCCCAAUAGAGUACACACAUCAUGCUUAAAAUUCGGUGAUAGCUGUAAUAGGGAAAAGAGGACAGUAUUAAUGUUAUGACAAUUGAACAAGUUGACACAUUUCGUAAAUGGUCAGCCAGUUCAUGAUGGCGUCUGUAAAAUUAUUAGAGAGAUGACUUCAUAUCUUUCCAAUUGGAACCCUUGUAACAUCUUCUGUGAAAGCAACAACCCUUUAGCAAGGAAAUUAAUCAUACUAGGAAAUUCAAGCCCUGGAAGGUCUUAUCAACUGGAAAAUAUAUACUGGCGCUAGUGGAAUGUUGCUGCAAAAGUGUAAAUCGUUCAUAAUUUGGAGACUGAAAAAACACAUUUCAUCAAAAAAGAUUACGACACACCUUACAGUAAGAUUAAUACACAUCCUUACAUCCUUUCUCAAAACAUCCUUUCUCAAACACACAUACAAUGAUAAAACACACUACACUACAACAUUGUUAAGUAACAACUUACUCAUUAUAGCAAUAAAAAGACACACCCUACAGCAUGAUUAAGAAAAAGUUAACAGCAGGGUUUAGAAACACGGAGUGAAUGAUGUUUUUUUCCCGGAUUGACUAUUCAUGUGCAUCGUUUGCUAAAAGCUUAUUUUUCCUUCCUCGAGAUAGAUUGAUUCCUGCAUUUUGUGUUCAAGAUAUUCAUCCUGUCAUAUAGAAGGUUAUUUAUUUCAACUUUUACCAGGCCUGGAUAUUCACUGAAAGAACCUCCUGUCCACCAGAGAUUCAAAUGAUCAUCGCCUCCUUACAAGUGAACGGUUUAACUAGCUAUAAAACCAGGUUUAAUCCACCAUUUUCUACACAAGGAAAUGCCUAUACUAAUUCAGGAAUAUGACAGUUGUUUACCAUUUGUUUGAUGUGUUUACACUUUUUGAAUUUUUCUUGGAGUUCGGUAUUUAUGGACAUUUUAACCUAGAACUACCAAUAACAUAGACAUGAUUUCCUAGGAAAAUUAGUCUGGAUACAAAUUUAUUAAAAAAUAUUGAUACACAACUCUUGCGUUUUGUCUUUAACAUUAUUAAAACAUAUUGCAAUCAUAUUCACCUUUUAGAAUUAAGGGCAUGGAAAUUUUAACCUAGGACUAUUAAUGACAUGGACAUGAUUUCCUAGGAAAAUUAGUCUAGGGACAUCAAUUUUAUCAAAAAUAAUAUAACUGCAACUCUUAAACAUUACCAAAACAUAACUUUUAAAUUUCCAUGGUUUAAACGUAAUUGAAUUUAUUACAGGAUUGUACAGGACAUGAUUACCUAGGAAAAUUAGUCUGGGGACAUAUAUUACUAUCAUCAGACUAAAUAUACUAGUAAAUUCUGUAACCAUGGACUUUUUAUACUGGUAAUAUUAGUCCGCCCAGACAUAUUUUACCAAGACAAAUUUAUCACUUACAUUUUAUUUUGCACACCAAUUAUACAAUACAUAUCUUAAAAGUAAACAGUAGUAAAGCACGUCUUACAAAUAACAAUAACACUGACAUGGUUGAAUCACAGACAUCUGCUUUUUAAAGACGUUUUCUGAAAAAAUAUAAACCUUUUAACUUUCAAUUAUAAGACAUUAAAAAAACCAAAAGUUAUAAGAAAAAAAGUUUAAAAACAUUCCACGUGGGCGUAUGUAGUCAUUACUAAAUCCUCUAUAUCUUCAAACCCGUCCAUUCAAACUAUACACAGACUGCUUAACCGCGAAUCGAAUCAAUUCUCAAAACACCCUAUUAAAAAGCUAUAACUAAAUCAUUACGUUAAUAUUCAAAAUCUUUCCGCACAACGCACAUAAACCCAUGUUCAUAUAAAUACAUACAAUUUAUAACAUACUGAAUAUGAAUGUAUAAAUAAAACAUCAUGAUUAGUGGUUGUCUUAUGUCACAUCUUAAUAGUUUUAUUUUGGUGAUAUUACAAUUUUUUGAGAAACUUUGACAGUUUCUUAUGGAUUAGGCCAAUUUCGCGUUUUUUUGCUUUUUCGCAUUGUUUGCUUUUGUAUUUUCAACGGUGAAAAUGCAAAUUGUGAAAGCAGAAAAGCCAAUACGCAAAAGCGAAAACGCAAAUGUUUUUGAAUUAACGAAAGAAAAACGCGAAAACGUGAAACUGGACGCAUCCGUCUUCCAUAGUUUCUGUUUAUUUUGUUCUAUCUUGUGUUGAUGCUCCUAUCUUUUGUUGGUGACAUUUUGUUGACUUCUAGCGUUCUUUUUGAUUAGUUCGCCAAUGAGUAGCAGUUUCAUUGACGAAAACAAGCAUCCCCUUUCAUAGUAUUCCGCACCAAGUCAAACUGCUCUUUUUGUAAUUUCAAUUUCUUGGGGUUACGGCAAUAUUCAACCGUUACAUGUGUGUAGGAAAAGCUGUCUGAUAUGAAGCAUAUCUGCUAAAAUGAAAUGAAAGUGCAUAUAUAUGACCUAAUAGAAAUACAGAUUAACAAUGUUAUAUAUUAGUUAUUUUGCAACGAAUUAAUUUAGACUUGGCCAAAAAGUUUUGUUUUUAUUUAAUCAAAAUCUUGCGCAACAAGUGAUAUUUGAUGGGUGUUAAGUAAAAAAAAAACCAUUUACAAACCCAUUUUAGGCAACCAUGAGAAAGUAUAAUUAUAGCGAUUGCUACCGUACUUCACUCAUAGAGAUAAUCACCUAACAUCAUCAAGACCUUUAGAAGAAAAGAGAUAGGAUCAAUCAGGGGUUGAUCAAGGAUUUUUGAAAGGUUAUAUUAUUUCAAAAAACGUCGAGCGGAGCAAGGUGAACCAGUUUUUGAACGAUUUUACGCUACACGAAAGAUAUAUUAUCCAAUCAAAGAUGAUACGGUACGCCUUCUACGCCUCCCCGAAUGCGCAACUGCCUAUUUCCUCUUACAUUUAUAUCAUACAUGGACCAAUUUCAUAAAGUAUUCAGAUCUUUAUUACUCAAAUUCAUAAAAAUCAUUGUAGCUACAAGUUUGCAUUUUAAAAUUUUAACAGUAAAGCUAGUUUUACCUAAACAAAUGUCCGAAUCAUUAACUUCUGGGUAUAUCCCGACAAGGCAAUUAAAACGUUCUGUCAAGUUUUCAGUAGUUUAUAACAACAUCAACAAAGUAAAGAGGAAGAACAUGACUUACUUACUUGAUUUAAUCCUUUUCAUUCCUUGUGGAACAUAAGGCUGCCACAGUCGCUUUCCACCUUACUCUUUUUUCGGGCUAUUACUUUUGCAUCGCUCCAGGUAUAUCCUACAGCUCCUUGUGCCUUAAUCAUCCCCAGCUAUGAAAUGGUCUCCCCGGUCUCCGAUGUCCUUGUGGGUUCCAUUCUAAUGCCUGUCUAGUGAUGGUACCUACAGGUUUCUCCAAAAUGUACCAAUCCAUUGCCAUGUUCUUCUCUUUAGCUGUUUUAUUGCUGGUUCCUGGUUGGUUGUUUCCCAUAAGCAUUUGUUACUAGUUGUUUCUGGCCACCAAAAUUUUAAAAUUUGGCACAGGCAUUUGUUGAUAAAAACCUGGAUUUGAUGUUGUACCCCUGUUGUAAGUCUCCAGGUUUCUGAUCCAUAAAAAAGGGCUAAUUUUACAUUGGUUUUGAAAAGUCGAAUUUUGGUGUUUUCUGUAAAUGCUGUUGAUUUACAAACUGGCUUCAGCAUAUGAAAGGCUUGUCGAGCUUUACUUAUUCUUGUCCUGAUGUCUGCAUCUGUCCCACAAGAAGAAAAGCAUGCUUCACGAAAACUAAAAUAAGUUCUAAAUGAACUUAUUCAAUUUUAUCUUUCCUUUAAAAGUAUAUUUAUUCAUUAUAGUCGGAGACAUUCGUCGAUGCCAUAUAUCCAAAAUCAGGUAUUACAAUGUAUUUACAUAUUAUUCAUAAGUAUACUUAUCAUAAUACAGACUGGUGGAUUCAGAUGGGGGCAUGACAGGCGUGUGUUCCAUACAAUUUGCAAAACAUGGGCAGUCCUCAGGUCAAUAAAGACUAUUUCGAUAGUUUUACCCCCCCCUUUUCCAAAAAAAAUUCGCUAAAAUUUAAGUUUGCUUCUAAAAUACUGGAGUCAUAAUGCAAUAGCAACAUUCAUUUCUGAAUAAUAUUCAAUUCUAAGGAAAUAUAUAAAAUUUUCAAAAAUCAUAUUUGAUAAAAAUUAAUAAUAUUGUCGACUUUAUAUUCAAAUUUCUGUGAAAUUUUUCCUCUUUAACAUUUUACCCUAUAAAUAAAACAUAUACAUUUGAAACAUACCCUUAGUAAUAUAUUUUAAUAAUUAAAAUUAAAGUAGAAAUUAUUAAAGAAACAAAUAUUCUUCAUAAUUAACCGAAGUCAUUUCCUACAACGAAAUUUAACGAAGUUGUAAAAUUCAAGAAAAAAAUAAAAACACAAAAUUUUUGUUUACUGGAAAGUACUAGUUUAUAGUUAUAAUGUUCUUGUUGAUAUAAUCUGCCUUAUAUUAUAUCUACACGUCAACAUAAACAUAAAGGUAUUAGCCAUGGAUUAUAUUUUUUUCUAUCACAUGUUGUGUUGAAUGUGAUUUUUAUACACCUUUAAAUCUUCAACAUUUUCUUGUUUUCUACUUCAUUUGUUAAACGCAUCAUUACUUAAUGCACUUCUCUAUUGUUAUGGUAAUACUAUAUAUUAAAUAGUCGUCACUAAUCUGGAUAUUUCUCUGCAGAGACAGACUUGAGAAUGGCGGCUAAAGCAGUGUCUGGACUGGUUCUUUUGAUUGCUGUAACUGUAGUCUGUCAAGGUAUUUAUUGAACUUCAAAACUAACUAGACAAAUUUAAAAAUAAUAAUUUUCGGUGAUUAAAUUGGUUAAAAAAAUUGUAAAAUACCGAAAUAAAUUUCGCGUUUCAUUUGAGCAUUUCGAAAUAAGGUACUUUUCCUUAAGUUGCUCACUCAUAGAGUCAUUGUGACACUCAUAACGUUGUUAAAACUUACUAGAUUGUAAAUAUAGAAAAUUUUACAUUUUUUAAACACCAUACACAUAUUCAUAGAAUAAAAUGCUUUUCUCUGUUGCGUCAUGUUUUGAAUCAAUUAAAUGUUUAGAAUCUGCAGUCAAGCAGUAUGCACGCACGAUCUGAUUGUUCAAAUUUACAUUUCAAACUUAUACCCUUGAAAACACUGAAGUAACAUAAGCAUUGCUAUAUGAAAAUUCCACAGAAGCGCAUCAUGCUACAUUAGGGAACGACCAUUUUGUUUUCUAGUUGGGAUGGUGGUUGCAGAAUGAAAAUUAAUCCUCAGAAGAAAAAAGACAUGCAUAGCAACAUGUGAAAAAUAAAAAAUCUGUUCAUAAGAUGGUAUUUUUAUCGACAGUCGAAAUUUGAACUCAGCUAUACAUAUGUUACAGUUUUACAAUUUUUCAAAUUAUUGUAAUGACCUAUAUUAUUGCAUGUGUUUCUCCUGAUUACUUUUUACACCAAAAACGAGAGACAUAUUUGCCACUGGAAGUUAAGCAUACACCAAUCAACCAAUCAGUCGUUUGUUUUUAAAUACCCGUAUAUCAAACUGAGAAGUACAUGUUGUGAAUUUAUUAUCGUGUUUUUUGGCUCAUUUUGACAUUUUGUAAUUAUUAACUCGAACAGAUCUUAUCCAUGUAAAUAUUGUUGGUUUGAAAUUCAGUAACAAAUUUCCUUCAAAGAACUUGAAGGCUAAAAUACACGUUUCGAUGUUUUUUUUUUCUAUAUAAAUAAUUCAUAUUUGAUAUUUUACAACGAUUCACACAAUUUGUAAGGACACUCACCAUCUUGAACAUGAAGAUAUUUUUUUGCAGAGCCCAAAUGAGGUGCCAUAAUAACAUACCUGCCAACUUUUGAAAAUGGUCAUGGGGGUUUUUGUGCGCGGCACCAUUUUUGAGGGUAGAAUUUUUCGCGGCAUUUUUUCGUGUGAUGAUUUUGCUCCUUAAAGUGGCUGACGUACUUCUUUUUUGGGGGGUGAUAGUUGAAGAUGCUAUUAUAACCUAUCUUUUUUUAAUUGUUUGAUUGUUGUAUUCUUUUUUGUUGAGAUAAACACCAGUAAGAUGACUUAUGUUUGUCUGAUACAUUGUCAAGAAAUAAAAAAAAAGUAAUAAUUUUAAUAAUUUAAUAACAAAAAAAAACCAACAAUAUAUGAGGGUCUGGAAUGGGGGGUCUGUGUUCUGUAAACAUUUAAUUUUCACCCCUUUUUUCUCUAAUCUUCAAAAAAUUAACCUCUUUUUUCUCUAAUCUUCAAAAAAUUUGACCACGCAUUUCUCAAAUUUUCAUUUUUUUUUGCCCGUUAUUCCCUUAUCUUCAUUUUUUAAGGGCAUUAUAUUCUCUAAUAAUUUAACCCCAUCCAAACCCUCAUAUAUUAUAUAGAUCAAUAUCACAAGAAGUACUAGAAUGUUUGGAGACAUCAUUAAGGCCACCGUGGUCAACUUUAAAUCUCUGUUGCAAACUUUACAAAAGGCAUGUGACAAUCCUAACGUUGAUUUAGACAACCAGCCCCUGUACUUGACAUCAAUAUUUCCCAUUUCUCUAUUAAAGUAUUUGCACGAAGCAACACGCUUUUUUUUCUUAGGCGGUGACAGAACUAUUUUGCAAGUGAUAACUCGCCCAUCAUGAUUCCAAUCUUUAUAAAUUUAACACCAAGCUAAAAAAAAACUCAAAUUUCGAUUCUUUGAUGUUUACUAUGCGACAUUAAUCAACUGGUGAAUGCGUGAUCACUAAAUUUUGAUUGGAUGAAAUUUGUCAGACACGAUUUGUCUCCCUUGGGAAAACUUUCAAAAGUUCAAAAUCGGGAACAAAAAUAUUUUGCAGAGCCCAUAAUAUAAAUAAACUUUAUGACACAAUACGAAAUCCAACAACAAACCGUAUAGUCCAAUAAAAAGGGCCGAUAUGACAAAAGUGACAUAAUUUAAACGAAAAACAAAAGACUGACAACAACUGAUUAUAUUUACAAGCACUGAAUUACGGGCUCCUGACUUGGGAAAAGCGCAUUUAUAUCCUACCGUAGUCUAAAAUCGUUCAUCUUGUCAGUUCGUUAGGUAUUGUGUUUGAACUUAACACACGGGGAAACUCCGCAUUGACGUCACUACGCUACUUCCGGCGUAGAAAAACAAGUAGAUACGUUUUUUCUGCACUUUUGAAUAAAAAAAACAUUUCUGAAGGUAAGUUUUCAUUGUUGUUCUCAAUUAUUGAUAAAAAAUGCCAAAUUUCUAAUGCCCGUUUCAAUCCCGACCUCCGAAUGUCUAAAAACAUUCUAGAAUUCACAAAAUCCCAUUCCGGCCUCCAUUGCUUUGUGUACAUUCCAUCAGCGUCAUCAAUUUGUGGCAGGAUACAGGUCAAGCAAAUCUUAUUUUUUGGAAUUUAAAAUGACAUGCUCCUUACGUUUUUCGCGAUUUUCCCGCGAAAAAAAGCCCAACCAAAAUGAAAGGAAACUAAUUGAAAAAACUAUGCCCAUGCCAAAUUUGUACAGGAGUAUAGAUAGGUUAAUGAAAAAUAAUUUACAUUUAAUUUUUCAUAGAAUUUUCUUUUUAUUCAUUAUAAAAGAUCGAUAUUCUGACCAUCAUGACUGUAGAUAAAUAUUCAUACAGAAUUCCAUUGAUGUCAAAAAGGGAUGGCAAAAAAAGAGUUCCUGUUGAAUAAAACCCAAAUUUAUUGCAAACUAUUUUGGAGCAAUAUCCCACAAAGAAAUAGCGUAAUUGCCGUAGACUGGAAAAUCCCCUAAUUGACAGUAGAGCAAUUUGAUUGGGUAGAACGAAAUGACAUCACGUGAUUUUGACGCCAUUGAAAUUUAAAUGUAAACAAACAAGGUCAGAAGGUUCAGUAUGGGACAGCAUCGUACAUUUAGUUCUGACAAAUAAUUAUGAGUUCCAAGCUUGACAAUGCAUGGUGAUAAAAAUGAAAGCUAAGUGUACAGAAAAAAUAAGAAAAAAAUAGCCUUAGGAUAACGACUUAUCAUUACACCUGGAUAUGUGACAUAUGUGGUGGGAUAAACAUGUCUGUAGCGGUCAGCCUAAGAUAGUGGUGUAGCAGCACACCAUUAGAACGAAUUGUAAACAUUCGUUGGAUAUGGUUUGACUAAUGAAAUUGACAUUAAGUGUUUUUUUGUAAAAAUCUUAAUUUGAGUUUUUCUCGAGUUGAUCAAAUGUAACAUAUUCUUUUGCGUUGCGAUGACAUAAUGUUAUGUGUUUUUGUUUACGUGAAAAUCAUUUUGUAAAUGCAAAUGCUAAUCUAGGUGCAUAUAAUUUUAUACUUAUAUUAUGUAUUUAAUACCGUUUGAUCGUUUCAUGGCAAAUGAGAUCCUGUUAUUUACUUGAAUUAAAAAAAUAUAAUCCUGAAAAAGGAAUGUGUCAAAUUUGUCCUAACAUCUUUUGUUAUAGGAGCUUAAAUUCAGCCGGCAAUAAUAAAGUCAGUACAGGAUGUUUCAGUUAUAUUGAACGAGUAAAUGUAAUAAUAUUACUUUUUAACGAAAAUCCAAAUCAUAAAAUAAGUAUUACGAAGUACAACACAAGUUGCGCUUUUUAAAAUUAAUGUGACAUUGCCCCAUCAUGGUAGCAAGCUAUGUCGAAAAGUAGAACGAAAUCGAUGAAUAGUCAAGUCAUUAUGUACCAUUUAAUCAGAAUUAUUGCAUACAUAUAAGAUAUUUAAGUUUUGCUGUAAUUAAUCUCUUUUCAAAGAAUAGUGGAAAUCAUAUAUGCCGAGCGGAGCGAGGCUAAAAAGAUUUGAAGGGUUUUGGAGCCGCUGAAGGCCACAAGAAACUAUAGAACUAAUGAUGUAAAAUCUUGCUCUUUAGGUGUUUCCCAGACCCUUUCUUAAUAUGAAAAUGAAAGUUCUGUUUUAAUAUUUUUUUGAUCUCAAAGCAACAUGUACAUGUAUGUAGAUUCAGUGUAAGACUUGCGCUUUUUAGGGACAACAUCAAAAGACCAAUAUGUAGGAUAAAGCAAAACUUUCUGCGUUUUUUUUUUAAAACUCAUGAUCAAGUUAAUAAGAAAAUUACUUAAUUACAAAAGGAAUGCAACACUAACAGAAUACAGAAGGGCAAUCAAUAACAAAAGACAAAUAAAAAAGUAACAUUGAUCCCGAAAAAAACAGGAGAUAUGUCUGAGAGAGUAAUUUAUGGUAACGAAAUCCGUAUCUUGAUAAUUUACCAGUGAUGCAUUGAUUACGUUCGUUAAAAUCUAUGACAUCACUACACACACACGCAUACCGAACGAGUUGGGAUAUAUAAACACCGUAUGAUGGAACCAAAGGUACACACAUGUUUAUCCCCGCCACAUUUGUUAUGUCCCUGUCCCAAGUUAAGACCCUGUAGUUAUGUUAUUUUCGUAGGUUUAUGUCUGUCAUAUUUGUUUUUCGUAAAUUGUUAAGUUAUCAAUAAGUUGGUGUACUGGUUUCAAUUGUUUCAUAAUUUUCAUGUCGCACCUUUAAUAUCGGACUGUAUGGUAUGGAUUUUUCUGAUUGUUGAAGUCCAUAUGGUUGCCUACUGUUAUAAUUGCAUAUCCACUUAGUUUGAACUUUGGUGGAUUGUUGUCUCAUUUAACUUAAUACUACAGCUCCUUAUUUUUAUAAUAUUUAUCAUCAAUCCGUUAUUAAAAUAAGGGGAAUCGACCAUUACCAAGAAUUAUUUAUGAUCAUGUUUUUCAUCCGACUGAAAGAUAUGAAAAAUUGAAGAAUGAUGCAAAUGUCAUUUAUUGGAUGAGUUGCCAGGUCUUGUUAAAAUUGAUAACCAGUUCAGAAGUUUAAUAAAAAAAUAAAAUGUCCACUUUGGUUCGAAAUGAAACAGCAUUUGAGAUGCUUGCUGGUCGACUGAUAUGUACAAAUAUAUAGAGAGGCAAAAAUCUCAAAUGCUGUUUGUCGGUAACUUCGACAUAUAUUACAAGUAAAACAAUUAAAAUAAACGUUUAAUGAAAAAUUAAUAAAAAUUAAACUACAUGGGGGUCAUUCGGUAUACUCCCACUCAGGGGCACCCAAAGGGUACCCUGUCCACAAGUACCUGUGGUAGGAUGAAGAGAUCUUACUUCGGUUCGUUUACAUCUAAAUUGACCAACAACUGACCUACAAUUGGAGUCAUUGCCUUAAAAAACGACAUUUAUUAAAAAAAUAUAUCAUGAGAUUGAAAACAGAAUUAUUUGACAAGAAUUUUUUCAAGGAGUUACGCCCCUUCGAACUUAUUUGUUUCAAUAUACUACUGCAACAGUUUGUCAUCGCAACUCCUCUCAAAUCACACAACAGAAUUUCAUGAAACCUUUUCAUUCUAUGUAUGUAGAUGUGCAUAUCGACAGGAAAUUACGAUUCAAUUUUUUUUCCAGGAGUUACGCUCCUUUGAACUUAUUUGCUUCAAUAUACUACUGCAACAGUUUUUUGUCAUCGCAACUCCUCUCAAACCACACAAGAGAAUUUCAUGAAACCUUUUUAGAUAAUAAGGACAUACAUUGUACUAUGUAGAUGUGCAUAUCGACAGGAAAUUACGAUUCAAUUUUUUUUUCUAGGAGUUACGCUUUUUUGAACCUAUUUGCUUCAAUAUACUACUGCAGCAGUUUGUCAUCGCAACUCCUCUCAUCCCACACAAGAGAAUUUCAUGAAAUUUUUUUAGAUAACAAGGACAUAGUAUUUUGGAGAUGUGCAUAUCGACAGGAAAUUAUGAGUCAAUUUUUUUUCUUUCAGUUAUUUUUUUUUCUCAAGUAACAAUGUGGGGACGUGGGGUAUGUGAGCACGCUAACUAAAAGGUUCUUUACUUGUUUUUUGUUUUCAGUAACAGAACAAACAUGCGGGAAUGACCAGUGUAAAAGUAGGAAAGGAGGCUGUUAUGAUAAUCAAGAGGAGUGGAUGGAGGGGUGUACAAAGAAAAUAUGUAUAGUAGAAGAACAUGGUUGGAGAACAGAAAUAGUCAAGAUAC
This 11480-nucleotide long non-coding RNA is filed under the name Mytilus galloprovincialis (Mediterranean mussel). The record is from RNAcentral. Lineage: Eukaryota; Metazoa; Mollusca; Bivalvia; Mytilida; Mytilidae.